AUCGAAGACAUCAGCCUGCUGAUGAGCUCCCACACGAAUUGCUUGAUUCAUUGUGAAGACGAUCAAGACCCUAUAUAGGUCUGUAGCUCAGUUGGUUAGAGCGCACCCCUGAUAAGGGUGAGGUCGGCAGUUCAAAUCUGCCCAGACCUACCAAUAUGCGGGGCCAUAGCUCAGCUGGGAGAGCGCCUGCCUUGCACGCAGGAGGUCAGCGGUUCGAUCCCGCUUGGCUCCACCACUUACGCUGUACCUUGAUCAGAACCUAGAAAUGAACAUUCGUUGAUGAAUGUUGAUUUCUGGCUUUUGUCAGAUCGUUCUUUAAAAAUUCGGAUAUGUGAUAGAAAUAGACUGAAUGCCAGUUUCACUGCUGGCAGUUCAGGCUAAGGUAAAAUUUGUGAGUUCUCACGAAUUUUCGGCGAAUGUCGUCUUCACAGUAUAACCAGAUUGCUUGGGGUUAUAU
RNAcentral lists this transfer RNA (457 nucleotides) under uncultured Pseudomonas sp. Its description in RNAcentral is "16S-23S ribosomal RNA intergenic spacer". The stretch from base 77 to 150 matches the Rfam family "tRNA". Lineage: Bacteria; Pseudomonadati; Pseudomonadota; Gammaproteobacteria; Pseudomonadales; Pseudomonadaceae. The record is from RNAcentral.